This 493-nucleotide ribosomal RNA is filed under the name uncultured bacterium. Its description in RNAcentral is "partial 16S ribosomal RNA". It matches the Rfam family "Bacterial small subunit ribosomal RNA", at positions 29 to 523 of the family's 1533-position model. The record is from RNAcentral.
AUUGAACGCUGGCGGCAUGCUUUACACAUGCAAGUCGAACGGUAACAGGUUAAGCUGACGAGUGGCGAACGGGUGAGUAAUGCAUCGGAACGUGCCCGAUCGUGGGGGAUAACGCAGCGAAAGCUGCGCUAAUACCGCAUACGAUCUGAGGAUGAAAGCGGGGGACCGUAAGGCCUCGCGCGAUCGGAGCGGCCGAUGUCAGAUUAGGUAGUUGGUGGGGUAAAGGCUCACCAAGCCAACGAUCUGUAGCUGGUCUGAGAGGACGACCAGCCACACUGGGACUGAGACACGGCCCAGACUCCUACGGGAGGCAGCAGUGGGGAAUUUUGGACAAUGGGCGAAAGCCUGAUCCAGCAAUGCCGCGUGCAGGAAGAAGGCCUUCGGGUUGUAAACCGCUUUUGUACGGAGCGAAAAGGCUCUCUCUAAUACAGGGGGCUCAUGACGGUACCGUAAGAAUAAGCACCGGCUAACUACGUGCCAGCCGCCGCCGUAA